This is a transfer RNA of Felis catus (domestic cat), 85 nucleotides long. It matches the Rfam family "tRNA". Rfam says of the family: Transfer RNA (tRNA) molecules are approximately 80 nucleotides in length. Their secondary structure includes four short double-helical elements and three loops (D, anti-codon, and T loops). NCBI's taxonomy places the organism in Eukaryota, Metazoa, Chordata, Mammalia, Carnivora, Felidae. The record is from Rfam.
GCCUGGGUGGCUCAGUCAGUUGAGCGUCCGACUUCGGCCCAGGUCAUGAUCUUGCAGUCCGUGGGUUCGAGCCCCACAUCGGGCU